RNAcentral lists this ribosomal RNA (735 nucleotides) under uncultured microorganism. RNAcentral's name for it is "SSU rRNA". It matches the Rfam family "Bacterial small subunit ribosomal RNA", at positions 64 to 848 of the family's 1533-position model. The record is from RNAcentral.
GAGCGCACCUUCGGGUGAGCGGCGGACGGGUUAGUAACGCGUGGGAAUAUGCCCAAAGGUACGGAAUAGCCUCUGGAAACGGAGAGUAAUACCGUAUGUGCCCUUCGGGGGAAAGAUUUAUCGCCUUUGGAUUAGCCCGCGUCUGAUUAGAUAGUUGGUGGGGUAACGGCCUACCAAGUCGACGAUCAGUAGCUGGUUUGAGAGGAUGAUCAGCAACACUGGGACUGAGACACGGCCCAGACUCCUACGGGAGGCAGCAGUGGGGAAUCUUAGACAAUGGGCGCAAGCCUGAUCUAGCCAUGCCGCGUGAGUGACGAAGGUCUUAGGAUCGUAAAGCUCUUUCGCCAGGGAUGAUAAUGACAGUACCUGGUAAAGAAACCCCGGCUAACUCCGUGCCAGCAGCCGCGGUAAUACGGAGGGGGUUAGCGUUGUUCGGAAUUACUGGGCGUAAAGCGCACGUAGGCGGAUUAUUAAGUCAGAGGUGAAAUCCCGGGGCUCAACCCCGGAACUGCCUUUGAUACUGGUAAUCUUGAGUUCGAGAGAGGUGAGUGGAAUUCCGAGUGUAGAGGUGAAAUUCGUAGAUAUUCGGAGGAACACCAGUGGCGAAGGCGGCUCACUGGCUCGAUACUGACGCUGAGGUGCGAAAGUGUGGGGAGCAAACAGGAUUAGAUACCCUGGUAGUCCACACCGUAAACGAUGAAUGCCAGACGUCGGGGGGCUUGCCCUUCGGUGUCA